RNAcentral lists this ribosomal RNA (407 nucleotides) under uncultured bacterium. RNAcentral's name for it is "partial 16S ribosomal RNA". It matches the Rfam family "Bacterial small subunit ribosomal RNA", at positions 30 to 526 of the family's 1533-position model. The record is from RNAcentral.
AUUGAACGCUGGCGGCAGGCCUAACACAUGCAAGUCGAGCGGAGCGGCGGACGGGUGAGUAAUGACUAGGUAUCUGCCUGGUAGAGGGGGAUAACGUCCGGAAACGGGCGCUAAUACCGCAUAGUAUCCGAUGAGCCUAGGUCGGAUUAGCUAGUUGGUGGGGUAAAGGCCUACCAAGGCGAAGAUCCGUAACCGGUCUGAGAGGAUGAGCAGUCACACUGGAACUGAGACACGGUCCAGACUCCUUCGGGAGGCAGCAGUGGGGAUUAUGGGGCAAUGGGCGAAAGCCUUAUUCAGCCAUGCCGCGUGUGUGAAGAAGGUCUUCGGAUUGUAAAGCACUUUAAGUUGGGAGGCGUUACCAACAGAAUAAGCACCGGCUAACUUCGUGCCAGCAGCCGCGGUAAUAC